Molecule: long non-coding RNA, 1707 nt
Organism: Phacochoerus africanus (Common warthog)
Lineage: Eukaryota; Metazoa; Chordata; Mammalia; Artiodactyla; Suidae
Exons: 3
Source: RefSeq, a predicted model, not a curated record
AGGCAUGGGAGCAGCCUGGCAUACUGGCUGGGAGACCAGAGGCUGCCCAAACUCACGCUUAGGAUUCCCAGAGCUACACCUUGGCUGUGAGCAUCCUCCUCUGGCUGUGCUACUGGGUCCUGUGUGUGAGAUGAAAGGGUACAAGGGUGGGAUGAGGAGAAAAUAAUUCCGGAUAGGAGCAUCAAGGGAGCUGUGGGCCCAGAGAUGCCGUGUAGGUGGGUGCGAAGGAAAACAAGCAGGAGUGAGAAUUAAGAUUUGUGACCCAGAGACCAAAGGGAUAGAAAAAGGCAGCCCGAGGUAUUGCAGAGAGCGAUGGAAAAGGAGUCAGAAGUUCAAGGUUCAAGUCCUACCUCUUCUGUCUCAGAGCAUCAUGAUCAAACGUGCCUCUUCCCAUAACUGAGGCUCAGUUUGCUAGAAAUUAGGGGUUAGGUGUUCAUCAGCAAGAUUGCUUUUUAAUUCUAUGAAAUUAUUUGUGCCAUAGUCGAUAAGGGACUACUGUGAGCCCCGAGGAAAUACAGACAAACUAGCUGUGGACCCCACAGACAAGGAGCUCAUGUCUAGAGCGGGAUACAGGAAUAAAGAGCUACCUAUCGACAUGGUGAUAAAUUCGGCAGGAGAACUGGACUUGGAUGCACAGGCUCCAAGCCAGGAAGUGGUAGAGAAAUCAGGGUGCUGGGCAGCAGUAGGAUGGAGGCUUGGUUCUCAGAAAGGAGGGAGGAAUGAGGAGCCACUUGAACUUGCAAAAGCCUGAACGUGAGGCUCGUGUGGCUGGGCUGAGCUGCACCUGUAUUUUAGGUCCAGGACAGACUUGAUAGAGGUGAGAGGGAUGGGGGAUCUCUUGGUAAAGGCAGUUACCCAUAAACCAGAGGAAGAGUUCACGCUCUGUCCUAUCUGGCUUGUAACCCUGUAACCUGUCGCCCUAAAUCUGCUCUCCUCGCGUAGCACUCUCAGCACUUACCCUUGAUGGCCCCAGCUUUCUGGGGACUCAGGAGGGUCAUCAAGAUGUGGAGUCCCAGGACCAGCCCCCCAUGGAGGACCAUGGCCCUCUGGUGUUUUAACCAAAUAAGUCUUGGUUGGUGUGUGUGUUGCGGGGGCGGGUAAAGGAAGAAAGCAGAGGAGGAAGAAAACAGAGACUGGGGUGGGGGAGACCCCUGCCAUAUUCAGCCAAUCAGAGAAAUUCUCUGAGUUAGCAGAGCUGUUGCUGGGUAAAGCAGUAAAGAGCCUGGGUGAGAAGAUGGAAGAAUUCAUUGUACCCACUUGUGCCCGGGAGGCUUGGCCCACAGAAGAGUCAACAGGGAUGGGAGGGGCUUAAAUCAACUGAUACCACAACCCCCAAGAAGAGACCUUCUGAAGGGAGAGAAAAGGCAUCAGAGCACCUGGCAGCCCACUUGUCUUCGCGAGACCCGGCUUCUAGAUCCCGGUUGGAGACCUCCUUGGGAUCGAAACUGAGUGAGCUCCAACGCUUCAGGAUUUCAAACAUUAGGACUUUGUCCUUGGGGACCGGGAAGAUCAAGACGGUGAAGUCUGGGAUCCGCCUGGAUUAAGAGGACCGGCAGGAGCCAGGAAGUGCUGAGUGAGGAUGGGAAGCCCUGGGAGCUGCGAGAGGCCGGUUACCGAUGCCCGGCUGUGCGGCCAGCCCUGAACCGAAGGGACACCUGAUCCAGAGCCCUGAAUAAGCCCGGGGAAGGACCGCAGGAAGGAGGGGGU